AGAUACAAUGAUGAUACACAUUUUACUUAUUUUCUGGUACCUCUUAUGUCAGGCGCCCUCACAGGCCCGAUGAUCUUAACGGACUAUCUGAUC
This is a non-coding RNA of Pseudogymnoascus pannorum, 93 nucleotides long. NCBI's taxonomy places the organism in Eukaryota, Fungi, Ascomycota, Leotiomycetes, Thelebolales, Thelebolaceae. The record is from Rfam.